This 254-nucleotide ribosomal RNA is filed under the name uncultured bacterium. RNAcentral describes it as "partial 16S ribosomal RNA". It matches the Rfam family "Bacterial small subunit ribosomal RNA", at positions 524 to 776 of the family's 1533-position model. The record is from RNAcentral.
UACGUAGGGUGCGAGCGUUGUCCGGAAUUAUUGGGCGUAAAGAGCUCGUAGGCGGUUUGUCACGUCGGCCGUGAAAACCUGGGGCUUAACUCUGGGCGUGCGGUCGAUACGGGCAUCACUAGAGUUCGGCAGGGGAGACUGGAAUUCCUGGUGUAGCGGUGAAAUGCGCAGAUAUCAGGAGGAACACCGGUGGCGAAGGCGGGUCUCUGGGCCGAUACUGACGCUGAGGAGCGAAAGCAUGGGUAGCGAACAGG